Molecule: long non-coding RNA, 1943 nt
Organism: Hippoglossus stenolepis (Pacific halibut)
Lineage: Eukaryota; Metazoa; Chordata; Actinopteri; Pleuronectiformes; Pleuronectidae
Exons: 5
Source: RefSeq, a predicted model, not a curated record
GUGCGUCCGAGGAGCUCACUUUUUACUUAUCUGUUGCCAUCAGCGCAUUGGAAGCUGGAUGUCUUGGCCAUCCUAAUGUUGGGACCCGCCCAGAUCCCUCCUACUCCAGUGGUGGGCUGGACGCAGGAGGAGUGAACACCGAACAUGCCGAACUGCGAGCGCAGAAACUCGGACUGGGACCUGAGAUGGAGGCAGGCAGUUGUACCAUCGAAUGAUCCGGGAUAUAAAACAUUUUGCUUGCACCUGCCUGUGAGACGCUCCCUGACUUCAACUCAUCGAUGUCCUGUCAAGCCACUAGGUGCCAUGUGUCCUGUCAUGAGCGAUAACAGGCUCAUCACGACUGCAUUCUUUCCAUUUUGGUGAAGAGCAGCGUGGCAUAGAAGGUUGGAGUGGACCGGCCUGCGGCUUUGGCCACAGGAAGCUGUGAAUUCUUAGCAGAAUGGAAGAUGUCUUAUGGGGAGACAUACUGGCCCCCCACCUACCCACUCACCACCUCAAAACGACCCCUGACCUCUCCUUGUGUUUAUAUCAGACCAUGGAAGUGAGAAAUAGUGAUGAGUCACUCUGGCUGUGUGUUUAUACUCCGGAGUCACGCAAGGAAGGAAAUCAGCCACGGUCUGCUAAAAGUGGCGAGGUGACAGAGAAUAGCUGCAGUCCCUGAGCGCUGCCGUGAUUUACCUCUGCACAACCCGAAUUUAUUUCACCUCGUCUCUGCUGCGAAGACUUUGAACCAAGAGGAAAUCAGGGCUGUGGACUGUUGUCAAGGAAAAGGCAACUCCAAUGGAAGCGAAUUAAGUUACAGUUACUGUGUUCCUGAGUUACAUUUACAGUAUGUGAGUGCAUCAUGUCAUACUCAAUAUUAUUUAAACUGAUAAAAAUAAUUCAACAAGAAAAUUAUCUGUACAUUGAAUUUGACUAAAUUCUUGAUAAUCAAGGCAGGGAAAACACACAAAUAAACUUUAAUAGAGGGAAAAGGUGUAUCUCCACACAUUCCAUGAUUGUUAUUAUUUCUUUAUUUUAAACAAAAGUUUUUCAGCUCACUAUGGAAUUAAUCUUCAAAACUUUGCAGAAUGUUUCUCAGCCAAAGGGAGGGUAUCUAUUAAAUUAAAUCACAAGGUUGUCACACUGUAGCAAUGAUACUGCACGUAACUUUGUUUAAAAAGACGUAAAUCCACUCAGGUUUUGCACUGAUUAUAUAUUGUGUUCAACAAAAAUACUCCAAGUUGAAAUUUGUUUCAUCAUCAUAAAUGUAUAAUAUUAAAAUCAAGAUUUAAAAUACUUGAAUAAAGUUAAGUAUGUCUAAAAUGUUAAAACCUUCCCAUGAUCUCAUUCAAAAGCAAAAUAGACAUAUCUAAUAUUCUAUGUCUGACAUUAUGUUUAUUACCGGUAUAUGUAUAGCUCAAGCUAAACUAUAUUUAAGAAAAAUGUAUAUAAUUAGUCUAGAUUUUUUUUAUGAUAUUUUAUAUUUAAUUUAAGUAGAUUUUAUGGAAGUAAGAAAACAAGGGUCCCAAACACGUCAUUGAUAAGUGUUAUUAUGAAAAAGUGUUUAUAAAAGGGAGCAAACACAUUUCAGUUUGUAGAUAUCCUGAAAUAAUGAAGUUAAAAAAAAAUAAAGGCCUUGGGUAUGAGUUACACUGAGAUUAUAUUAAAGACAUAGACAUGGUGUUUGGGGUCCCUUAAAGCAGUGGUUCUCAAAUGGGGGCUGUGAUACCCUGGGAGUCUGUGAAAGGUUUCCAGGUUCAUUCACUAAAGCUAUGAUCAUAUGUGGGUAUUCUGUGUUCUGUAUUUUUAAAACAUGUCUAAGACAAUUCUCAUGUUGUCCGUUCACAUAACUCAGUGUAAAAAACACAGGCUUGGUCAAAUUAUUCCAAGGGUCAUCCAUGAGGGUCCCCAGAAUAUUUUCUAUCUUCUAAGGUCCUUGGUUGAAAAUAAAAGGAGAAUCU